AUUGAACGCUGGCGGCAGGCCUAACACAAGCAAGUCGAGCGGAUGAAGGGAGCUUGCUCUCUGAUUCAGCGGCGGACGGGUGAGUAAUGCCUAGGAAUCUGCCUGAUAGUGGGGGACAACGUUUCGAAAGGAACGCUAAUACCGCAUACGUCCUACGGGAGAUAGCAGGGGACCUUCGGGCCUUGCGCUAUCAGAUGAGCCUAGGUCGGAUUAGCUAGUUGGUGAGGUAAUGGCUCACCAAGGCGACGAUCCGUAACUGGUCUGAGAGGAUGAUCAGUCACACUGGAACUGAGACACGGUCCAGACUCCUACGGGAGGCAGCAGUGGGGAAUAUUGGACAAUGGGCGAAAGCCUGAUCCAGCCAUGCCGCGUGUGUGAAGAAGGUCUUCGGAUUGUAAAGCACUUUAAGUUGGGAGGAAGGGCAUUAACCUAAUACGUUAGUGUUUUGACGUUACCGACAGAAUAAGCACCGGCUAACUUCGUGCC
RNAcentral lists this ribosomal RNA (486 nucleotides) under uncultured bacterium. RNAcentral describes it as "bacterial SSU rRNA". It matches the Rfam family "Bacterial small subunit ribosomal RNA", at positions 30 to 509 of the family's 1533-position model. The record is from RNAcentral.